This 435-nucleotide ribosomal RNA is filed under the name uncultured bacterium. RNAcentral's name for it is "partial 16S ribosomal RNA". It matches the Rfam family "Bacterial small subunit ribosomal RNA", at positions 28 to 507 of the family's 1533-position model. The record is from RNAcentral.
GAUGAACGCUGGCGGUAUGCUUAACACAUGCAAGUCGAACGGACUCUUCGGAGUUAGUGGCGGACGGGUGAGUAACGCGUGAGAAUCUGGCUUUGGGUUCGGGACAACCACUGGAAACGGUGGCUAAUACCGGAUGUGCCGAGAGGUAAAAGAGAAAUUGCCUGAAGAUGAGCUCGCGUCUGAUUAGCUAGUUGGUGAGGUAAAGGCUCACCAAGGCAGCGAUCAGUAGCUGGUCUGAGAGGAUGACCGGCCACACUGGGACUGAGACGCGGCCCAGACUCCUACGGGAGGCAGCAGUGGGGAAUGUUCCGCAAUGGGCGAGAGCCGGACGGAGCAAUACCGCGUGAGGGAAGAAGGCUCUUGGGUUGUAAACCUCUUUUCUUAGGGAAGAACAAAAUGACGGUACCUAAGGAAUCAGCAUCGGCUAACUCCGUG